UUUGUACGCUGGCGGCAUGCCUUACACAUGCAAGUCGGACGGCAGCACGGGGGCAACCCUGGUGGCGAGUGGCGAACGGGUGAGUAAUACAUCGGAACGUACCCAGGAGUGGGGGAUAACGUAGCGAAAGUUACGCUAAUACCGCAUAAACUGUGAGCAGAAAAGCAGGGGAUCGCAAGACCUUGCGCUUUUGGAGCGGCCGAUGUCGGAUUAGCUAGUUGGCGGGGUAAAAGCCCACCAAGGCGACGAUCCGUAGCGGGUCUGAGAGGACGAUCCGCCACACUGGGACUGAGACACGGCCCAGACUCCUACGGGAGGCAGCAGUGGGGAAUUUUGGACAAUGGGCGCAAGCCUGAUCCAGCCAUGCCGCGUGAGUGAAGAAGGCCUUCGGGUUGUAAAGCUCUUUCGGUGGGGAAGAAAUUGCACUUUUGAAUAGAAAGUGUAGAUGACGGUACCCGCACAAGAAGCACCGGCUAACUACGCGCCAGCAGCCGCGGUAAUACGUAGGGUGCGAGCGUUAAUCGGAAUUACUGGGCGUAAAGCGUGCGCAGGUGGUUAUAUAAGUCAGAUGUGAAAUCCCCGGGCUCAACCUGGGAAUGGCAUUUGAGACUGUAUGACUAGAGGAUGGCAGAGGGGGGUAGAAUUCCACGUGUAGCAGUGAAAUGCGUAGAGAUGUGGAGGAAUACCGAUGGCGAAGGCAGCCCCCUGGGCCAUAACUGACACUCAUGCACGAAAGCGUGGGGAGCAAACAGGAUUAGAUACCCUGGUAGUCCACGCCCUAAACGAUGUCAACUGGAUGUUGGGAGGGUUAAACCUCUUAGUGUCGUAGCUAACGCGAGAAGUUGACCGCCUGGGGAGUACGGCCGCAAGGCUAAAACUCAAAGGAAUUGACGGGGACCCGCACAAGCGGUGGAUGAUGUGGAUUAAUUCGAUGCAACGCGAAAACCUUACCUACCCUUGACAUGUCCGGAAUCCCUGAGAGAUUGGGGAGUGCUCGAAAGAGAACCGGAACACAGUGCUGCAUGCUGUCGUCAGCUCGUGUCGUGAGAUGUUGGGUUAAGUCCCGCAC
Molecule: ribosomal RNA, 1069 nt
Filed under: uncultured Rhodocyclaceae bacterium
Lineage: Bacteria; Pseudomonadati; Pseudomonadota; Betaproteobacteria; Rhodocyclales; Rhodocyclaceae
Description: bacterial SSU rRNA
Rfam family: Bacterial small subunit ribosomal RNA
Source: RNAcentral